RNAcentral lists this ribosomal RNA (432 nucleotides) under uncultured bacterium. RNAcentral describes it as "partial 16S ribosomal RNA". It matches the Rfam family "Bacterial small subunit ribosomal RNA", at positions 29 to 506 of the family's 1533-position model. The record is from RNAcentral.
AACGAACGCUGGCGGCAUGCCUAACACAUGCAAGUCGAACGAGACCUUCGGGUCUAGUGGCGCACGGGUGCGUAACGCGUGGGAACCUGCCCUUAGGUUCGGAAUAACUCCCCGAAAGGGGUGCUAAUAUCGGAUAAUGUCUUCGGACCAAAGAUUUAUCGCCUUUGGAUGGGCCCGCGUUGGAUUAGCUAGUUGGUAGGGUAAAAGCCUACCAAGGCGACGAUCCAUAGCUGGUCUGAGAGGAUGAUCAGCCACACUGGGACUGAGACACGGCCCAGACUCCUACGAGAGGCAGCAGUGGGGAAUAUUGGACAAUGGGCGAAAGCCUGAUCCAGCAAUGCCGCGUGAGUGAUGAAGGCCUUAGGGUUGUAAGGCUCUUUUACCCGGGAUGAUAAUGACAGUACCGGGAGAAUAAGCUCCGGCUAACUCCGU